Molecule: ribosomal RNA, 448 nt
Filed under: uncultured bacterium
Lineage: Bacteria
Description: bacterial SSU rRNA
Rfam family: Bacterial small subunit ribosomal RNA
Source: RNAcentral
UUUCGAAUCAUUCACAAUGGGCGAAAGCCUGAUGGUGCGACGCCGCGUGAGGGAUGAAGGUCUUCGGAUUGUAAACCUCUGUCACUGGGGAAGAAACGCUUCAAGUUAAUAGCCUGAAGCCUGACUUAACCCGGAGAGGAAGCAGUGGCUAACUCUGUGCCAGCAGCCGCGGUAAUACAGAGACUGCAAGCGUUAUUCGGAUUCACUGGGCGUAAAGGGUGCGCAGGUGGCCAAGUGUGUGAGGCGUGAAAGCCCGUUGCUCAACAGCGGAAUUGCACCUCAAACUACAUGGCUAGAGCAUUGGAGAGGGGAGCAGAAUUCACGGUGUAGCAGUGAAAUGCGUAGAUAUCGUGAGGAAUACCAGAGGCGAAGGCGGCUCCCUGGACAAUAGCUGACACUCAGGCACGAAAGCGUGGGGAGCAAAAGGGAUUAGAUACCCCCGUAGUCC